Molecule: non-coding RNA, 84 nt
Organism: Stegodyphus mimosarum
Lineage: Eukaryota; Metazoa; Arthropoda; Arachnida; Araneae; Eresidae
Source: Rfam
CAUAUCCUAUGAUGAAAUUAUAGUUCAGCUGAAAAUUGUGCUGACUUGUUUUCUUAUGUCUUUCGCUCCUAACUGAGGUGUAUG